This 65-nucleotide microRNA precursor is filed under the name Dasypus novemcinctus (nine-banded armadillo). Its description in RNAcentral is "microRNA dno-mir-141 precursor". Its record names the gene dno-mir-141. It matches the Rfam family "mir-8/mir-141/mir-200 microRNA precursor family", at positions 10 to 68 of the family's 72-position model. From Rfam's summary of the family: The bounds of the precursors are predicted based on conservation and base pairing and are not generally known. Lineage: Eukaryota; Metazoa; Chordata; Mammalia; Cingulata; Dasypodidae. The record is from miRBase by way of RNAcentral.
CAUCUUCCAGUACAGUGUUGGAUGGUCUAAUAGCGAAGCUCCUAACACUGUCUGGUAAAGAUGGC